UACGUAGGUGGCAAGCGUUGUCCGGAAUUAUUGGGCGUAAAGCGCGCGCAGGCGGUCCUUUAAGUCUGAUGGGAAAGCCCACGGCUCAACCGUGGAGGGUCAUUGGAAACUGGGGGACUUGAGUGCAGAAGAGGAAAGCGGAAUUCCACGUGUAGCGGUGAAAUGCGUAGAGAUGUGGAGGAACACCAGUGGCGAAGGCGGCUUUCUGGUCUGUAACUGACGCUGAGGCGCGAAAGCGUGGGGAGCAAACGGG
RNAcentral lists this ribosomal RNA (253 nucleotides) under uncultured bacterium. Its description in RNAcentral is "partial 16S ribosomal RNA". It matches the Rfam family "Bacterial small subunit ribosomal RNA", at positions 524 to 776 of the family's 1533-position model. The record is from RNAcentral.